This 498-nucleotide ribosomal RNA is filed under the name uncultured bacterium. RNAcentral's name for it is "partial 16S ribosomal RNA". It matches the Rfam family "Bacterial small subunit ribosomal RNA", at positions 28 to 523 of the family's 1533-position model. The record is from RNAcentral.
GAUGAACGCUAGCUACAGGCUUAACACAUGCAAGUCGAGGGGUAGCAGGGUAGCAAUACCGCUGACGACCGGCGCACGGGUGAGUAACACGUAUCCAACCUUCCCAUAACUCGGGGAUAGCCUUUCGAAAGGAAGAUUAAUACCCGAUAGUACUUGAGAAAGGCAUCUUUUUUAAGUUAAAGAUUUAUUGGUUAUGGAUGGGGAUGCGUUCCAUUAGAUAGUUGGUGGGGUAACGGCUCACCAAGUCUUCGAUGGAUAGGGGUUCUGAGAGGAAGGUCCCCCACAUUGGUACUGAGACACGGACCAAACUCCUACGGGAGGCAGCAGUGAGGAAUAUUGGUCAAUGGGCGAGAGCCUGAACCAGCCAAGUAGCGUGAAGGAUGAAGGUCCUAUGGAUUGUAAACUUCUUUUAUAGUAGAAUAAAGUGACCCACGUGUGGAUUUUUGUAUGUAUACUAUGAAUAAGGAUCGGCUAACUCCGUGCCAGCAGCCGCGGUAA